CUCAGAUACCUUCAGCAAGGCUUUGAUUUGUAGCCGCGAACUCUAACCACUCGGCUAAGGAGAGCCUCGUAUUCCAGGGCCUCUAACGCAAAUCUCUACUGAUGCCAACGAUCUAACUGCUUUGACUCCUGGUCACUUCCCAAGUAACACAAUUAGUCAUAAAUAAGCUUAAAAUAUACCUUUCGUACAUCGCCACUGUUUUGGUUCGAAUGUAAAAUACUAAAUUCAAAACACCUUUAUAACCGAAAAAGCGCACAAAUGAAUGGUUUUAAAACAUCUUUUUGAUUCCACUGGAUGUUUUACAAUACCUACUUCAUACUUCUCAAAGCAUUCUGAAUUGUUAUAUCAAUGUUAUUCCAUACAUCAUUAUAACCCAUUAGUUAUAAUCAAGUUUCCCCGAUGUAAUUGAUACGUAAAAAUACAAGCACAUUGCGUAUUGCUUGAACUGUUUUGACAGCUCAACAAAAUAAUUUUUGUUAUUGUUAUGCUAAUCAACGAUUUCAAGUGUACGGUGAUCAAAAACUAAUUUCUUGCUGCAUGACAUUUUGCAGGGAUCUUUUCAUCAUUUUUUUUGAAAAUAAAAGGUUGCCUUUGUGCAUAAAGUGUAUGUUUUUUUUUAUGUGCUGUGUUAGAUUUCUGGUGAAACUGAUAGUUGUACCUCUUAUGAUUUCAUGCGCCGAUUAUAUGAUGCGCAAUGGUGACUUGUGUUCCGUGGAAUAUAUCUGAUUGGCUGGAUGCUCGUCGGAACGAACAAGUGAGAAAUAUGGAGGGUUGGAGCAGAAGCGUACAGUGCAGGUAAAAACUUUUGUAAUGAUUAUUUAUUCAAAAUCGUAACAUAAUUCAACUGGUUUGAGUGUAUCUAUACAGAAAAAUGCGAUACUAAAUUUUCUGACCAGCGAUGUAAUAUGGCAUUGCAUUGAUGGAUAGAAAAAAAAACAAAUUUUGGUACAAAGUUUGCGUUUGAUCUAAGUUUUAAAAGCGUAUAAAAUGCAUGUUUAAAACCACAAAAACACAGAAAUAGAAGCAUGCUGUUUCAUUCAUCAAAAAAUGCGAACAUCUUCAUCGAGACUAGAUGUUAAAAUCCCUUGAAAGUAUUCACCUCAUCAUAUUUUAAUUCAUUUUUCCUAUCGCUUGCAUUUUUUCCACGCCUCUAAAGUUUUACCGCAGAUUUUUUUUUGCGUCGAAAUAUUCAUCGUCAAAGAGAAACUAAGAUGCCGUACACGGAGAAACAUGAAAAUACUAGUUAGAGUGAUAUUUAUUACUUCCACCACAUUUGUGAUUUUUAAUCCUUACAAAUCAUAUUAGUUUAAGCUUUCUCAUGCAUUUUCGUAAAUUAUUUCUGAUGAUUCAUUUAUGUUGAUUAACGUUACACUUGGGACUUGUCUAUUUUUGUCUGAUUCAGAUUUGGUUCCCUUCGCUCUCAGUGAGGAACCAUUUUGCAAGUGUCUCUGCUUUCGUGAGUUUUGUCGAAAGUUGCUAAUACUGUUCUCACGGAACAAAAUAUUGCAUUUAUUGCAGUGCAAAAGGGGAACAUCCGAUUUCAAAUGUCGGGACAAACCACUGGCCUAUUUGUCGUCUUCCUGGGAACUCAUUCGUGGCAGGAUAAAGUAAUCAACAAGCGAGUCCACAAUUGCAUUGUAAAUCAACCAGAACCAACCGACAAAGCAGCAGGAGUUUGACGAUUCCACCUUGUUGGAGCAACAGGUUUGGAGGUCAUCUGCAGAAUAACUGAGUUUACGAAGUCCUUGAAGAACUAUGGAAUAGAGUUGUAUAGCUAUAGAUUAUAACGUGAUCACAUUAUUUAUUCAAAUAAAAGCCAAUAUUUGUCAUUUUGUUUCAAA
This 1841-nucleotide long non-coding RNA is filed under the name Aedes aegypti (yellow fever mosquito). Its description in RNAcentral is "lncRNA AAEL027877". Lineage: Eukaryota; Metazoa; Arthropoda; Insecta; Diptera; Culicidae. The record is from RNAcentral.